CAUUCGGUCGAACAGGGAAAAAGCGAAGGAAUUCUUCGCCGGUGGUCUCGAUCGCAAGAAGGAUCCCCAUGGAUUCUCUCUCUGGAUCAAAGCGUCUCCGCUACUUCUCUCCGAGGAUUUUCUCUCUUUGAUCUCUGCAAGAUUUGCUAAGAUUCUCCACUCAUUCUCUCUCCUUCACAGACUCCCACAAGCACAUUGAAGCUUGGCGUUCUUGAUGUUCCAGAAGCUCCAAUAACGAAAUCAGCUUCAACAUCACUGAAUGGCGGACAUCUCCAAAGCUCUCGUGUUGGAGUUGACUUGAUUUUUUCGCGUCCAAGGAUCCUUGAAGCAAGAUCGAAGAGCAAUUUCAUUAUUGUUGAAAGGCGGACGUCUCCGGAAGUUGAUUCUUCACCGAUUCAAUCG
This 402-nucleotide long non-coding RNA is filed under the name Eucalyptus grandis. Its description in RNAcentral is "long non-coding RNA (EGRA_LNC006157)". Lineage: Eukaryota; Viridiplantae; Streptophyta; Magnoliopsida; Myrtales; Myrtaceae. The record is from RNAcentral.